ACAUCCAGAGAACUUGGCAGAGAUGCCUUGGUGCCUUCGGGACCUCUGAGACAGGUGCUGCAUGGCUGUCGUCAGCUCGUGUUGUGAAAUGUUGGGUUAAGUCCCGNGACGAGCGCAACCCCUAUCCUUUGUUGCCAGCGAUUCGGUCCGGGAACUCAAAGGAGACUGCCGGUGAUAAACCGGAGGAAGGUGGGGAUGACGUCAAGUCAUCAUGGCCCUUACGAGUAGGGCUACACACGUGCUACAAUGGCGCAUACAAAGAGAAGCGACCUCGCGAGAGCAAGCGGACCUCAUAAAGUGCGUCGUAGUCCGGAUCGGAGUCUGCAACUCGACUCCGUGAAGUCGGAAUCGCUAGUAAUCGUAGAUCAGAAUGCUACGGUGAAUACGUUCCCGGGCCUUGUACACACCGCCCGUCACACCAUGGGAGUGGGUUGCAAAAGAAGUAGAUAGCUUAACCUUCGGGAGGGCGUUUACCACUUUGUGAUUCAUGACUGGGGUGAAGUCGUAACAAGGUAGGCGUAGCGAG
RNAcentral lists this ribosomal RNA (526 nucleotides) under uncultured bacterium. Its description in RNAcentral is "bacterial SSU rRNA". It matches the Rfam family "Bacterial small subunit ribosomal RNA", at positions 984 to 1509 of the family's 1533-position model. The record is from RNAcentral.